AAGGUUUAAGCCCUAGCUCUCUUUCGAAGAGGAGCGGCCAAGAACUAAUGGGCCAAACCCUUUGUAUCCGUACUAAUAAACUUGGCUCCUCCUCCUUUACCCACAUCUUCAUCAUCUUUAAAAUCUGAGAUCAACUAAUGUUUGCAGGGGAGGUUUUUCUUGUGGUCCAUUGUAUCAAUCAGUAACCCCAGCAUCAGUGAAAGGUGGUUUUUGAUAGCAACAUUAGCUUCUUGUCCUUGAUCUAUCGGAUCAAAGUUCAGUGUCCCUCAAGAACCAAAUAGCAGUUGCUUUCAGGAAAUACAAAUCCGGGUUUAUUUAAGAUGAAGAUGUAACUUUAGUUAGAAGCCAUGAGUUGGAUCGAUGGUGGUGGUGAUAGCAUGAUAAAGUGGGACAAAGGUUCAUGCGAGGCCUUGUGCAAUUUUCUGACUCAUAAAUAUGUUCCAAUUGCAUGCUAUGAAUGCACUAUGCAGAUCCUUCUACUUGAAAAACUACUAAGCAGCAACAUGGCACCCCAAGAGGGCCUAAUGGUCAUGCUCAAAUUACCAAUGCACCCUCUUUUAAAGGACGACUAUGCAUGAUCUCAAGUCUUCAAUGUAAUGAAUUUGUAAUUUUGUACUCCAUGGCAGCUUGCAAGUGUGCUUCAUUUAGAUCAUAUGCUCUUGUACCUGCUGAAGAGAGUUCCCCUUGGAAACUUCAAAACCUGUCACUUUUUUAAUCCUUUACCGAAUACUAGCUUUGUUUAUUAUAGCAGUAAGUCUAAGAUUUUGCAUUCUAUGGUUGUAAUAGUACUGUUGAAUUUUAAUUCCCCGAUGCUGUUUGCAGCAGAUAGUAUUAAAUUAUUAUGGUCACGUGAGUUAUGUAUGAAUAGUGAAAGUUUGAUUUCCUGUGUAAUAAUAUCAUAUUGUGAGUUAAUCUU
Molecule: long non-coding RNA, 916 nt
Organism: Glycine soja
Lineage: Eukaryota; Viridiplantae; Streptophyta; Magnoliopsida; Fabales; Fabaceae
Exons: 3
Source: RefSeq, a predicted model, not a curated record